Molecule: long non-coding RNA, 723 nt
Filed under: Homo sapiens (human)
Lineage: Eukaryota; Metazoa; Chordata; Mammalia; Primates; Hominidae
Description: HSALNT0290923
Source: RNAcentral
AAUUGCUAAUCCAACCAGCAAGUACUGCAACUCACAGCUGGCCAUGAGUUAUCACAGCCUCUGUCUCUCAGUCCUCCAGCCACCCUCCAAGGCAGAGAUUUACCUGUCAUUUCUUACAGAUGAGGAAAGCUCAGAGAGGGGAUGAACUCUUCCUAAGGUGACCCAGCUAAGAAGUGGCAGGGUGGGGAUUUCAAUCCUGAGCUCCUGGUCGUUGGUCACCCCAGCUGUGGGCCCUGUGGCUGGAGAAAAACUAGACCCUGCACCUGCUGUGGGCCAUCAGAGUCAGUGGAGGUCAGAGCCUGAGUGUGAGGAAUCUCUGAAUCGGCACAUGAGAAGGUCAACAGGAAGAAAGAAGAUACUUGGACUCCAGGAAAUGAUCACCGUGGAAACCCAUCUGCUGCUUCUUGUCUACGGCUGUUUGUUCCUCCAGCUCUGGGCUGCCUGAGUGUCUCACAGCAGAAUUAGCAAGUGCGGAGGCUGAAGGUUUCUAGAGGCUCUGAGGUCACAGCUCUCGCUUGAGUGCACAUAACUAUAAGCCAUGAUGAGGAAACUGAGGCUUAGAGAGGUUAAAUGACAUGACCAAAGUGUCAACAGCUAACAGGCAGGAAAGCCAGGACUCAAAUCCGGCAGCCUGUUUCCAGAGUCCACGCUUGGAACCACGGAGCUGUAUUUCUUAACAAAGAAAUCUCACUCUGUCGCCCAGGCUAGAGUGCAAUGGCGCAA